CGCGGACCGAGGCACUAACCCGUAUCCCCUGCAUCGGCAGGCGGACUCUCAACCACUGCGCCACCAGGGAAGCCCUAAAAAGCAUUUUUAUAGUGAGUCUGUUCCCUGCUCCUGCCUGCCUCCCAUCUAAUCCUUUGCUUAGGGAGCGACUUUUGAAGUCAAUGAUGAUGCCAGAUUUGGAAGAAUUCUAGAGGCAUGUGUUUGGGGACCAGCGCGGAUGAGAAUCAUAUUGGAUCUGCAGACGGGCACUGGAAUAAAACUGGCCUCGUUCAACUGUUCGUGCAAUUCUUCCAGCAAUGGAGUUAUCACUUCACUUUUCAUGUGUCCAAAAGGAAACUUGGAACUGAAGUGGGCGAAUUUAAUGAAGAAGAACAAACAUUUGAGAGUCAGAGAAUUCAGAUGUGAAAGAGACCUGAAUAAGAACCUUCUCCAGUGUUCCUGAGACGGCGUACUGGACUACGCUGAAAAAAGAAUGCUGAUUCCUGCUCCAUUUGAUGUGAAACAAAAACACACAAAUCUCAGCAAGUAGGAUUAGAUGGGAGUUUCCUUAACCUUAUAUACUGCAUCUACAAAAAACCUACGACUAACAUCAUACUUACUGGUGAAAGUCUGGAUGUUUACGCUACCAUCUAAGAUCAGAAAAAAGCAUGAAUGUCCACACUCCCUGCUUCUAUUCAUCAUUGUAUCAGAAGUUCCUGUCAGUUAAAUAAGCCCUGACUCUCUCAACAUCCUUAUAUUCACAUUGUGCUGGAAUUCCUGCUCUUCUUCUGACAAGUUGUUAGCUACUUGCUGUGGACUCCUCUCCAUCAUGUGAAAUGCUCCCAGCCAGUAAGAUCUAGACCAAAGCCAUCUCCUCUAUAAGCACCUCGAGUACAUGGCUCCUACUUUUGGACUGAUGUGGGCCAGCUAUGAUCAGAAGCAUUGUGUUUCUAAACUGGACCCCCAUAAAAACAUCCUUUUGGACCUUAAAAGACAACUACCCCAAGGAGAAGACAAAGCAGAGAGUAAAAUCAAAAAGUGGAAGUGAGGCAUAUACCAUGACUGCUGGGAC
Lagenorhynchus albirostris (white-beaked dolphin) is the source of this 1051-nucleotide long non-coding RNA. RefSeq lists it as uncharacterized. The record is from RefSeq and is a predicted model, not a curated record. The transcript has 8 exons. Lineage: Eukaryota; Metazoa; Chordata; Mammalia; Artiodactyla; Delphinidae.